GUCCCAUCGUCCCCUCCUCUCCGCUGCCGCCCCUUCGCCUCCUCUCCGUCCCCGCCUCGCUGGGCCACCGCAUCUCGCCGGCGGCCGCGAGGUAACCCCCUCCUCUUCCCCAUUUCCCCUCCCGCUUGGAGAUGAGGGUGGAGGAGAUGGAGCUGCGCAGGAAACCGUCCGUGAAGAAGAAGAUAGGACCGGGUGUCACAGGAUGGGAGGGGCGAAUAUCGCUGGCUGCGCGAGGGGAGGAGCUCGCUGGGGGGUAGCAGUCGGAGGAAAAGGAACAGGAGGGUGGUGUAUACGUGAGGAGCGAGGCAGGACAGCAGAGGCAACGCCUCAUUUGAUCUUGCACGGUUCAGAAAUCAAGAGAGCAACAUAAUUUUAUGGUGGAUCUGUAGGAAUAGUCAACAAAUGGGAGAUAUGAUUUGGGAACAUCUACCUUGGGCACAUGUAAUGCAUGGACUUGAGUUUCUUUUAAUCAGGCAAGUUCCUUUCUCCGGUUCUUAUUGUGUUACUAAAUCCUAUUAGGAUUAGGAUGCACAGUCUAGGGUGGUUUAGGCCGUUGGCUAUUCUGUAAUGCUACUAUCCGCAGCAUCAGGGCACAAUGGCUACCAUCCAUCUCAGAUCUCUUUCUAUCUAGCUAUAUAAUGAUGGCCAAACUUUAACAUACACAAGUUGUAUGGCCUAACGUGGCUUUGUGCUAUCUAUCUAAGUCCCUCCUUUCCAUUAGAUAGGUGCAUAAACAUCAGCACAAUCCGAAUUUUUCCUGUUGUUACUUAUUACUUUGUAAUUUUUAUUUGUUAUUACCACAUCCAAGUUAUCUUAUAUCUAUCUGUUAGGUUCAUGAGUCUUGAAUGCAAUGUUUGCUACACUUAUCUUUUAGCUGAAUUUUGUAUCUUAAGUGCACUGAAGGAUGAUGAAAUUGCUGCAUGUGCAAUCUUAUUGAUGUUAUCUCUGUGCUUCUGGAUUUUUUCACAUCUCUCCAGUUCUGUACCGAGACUUCUGCAAACACCAAUUCUGGCACGUGAUUUAAUCCUUGCCUAUUUAUAUUUUACAUACUUUACUAUGUAUUUUGUCAUGAUUGUAACUACUCUGACCCAAAACAGAGAUUAACAGAUCCAAUGCUUUACAUCGGGAUGCUCUUUAUCAUGUAUGGUAUGUCGAAGAUCACUAUUUUUGCAGCAUUAAUUACCAUCAUUUGGGGGCAUUUACUAUGGGAUACGAGGCGAUGCUGCUCCUUGUUUUGAAAGAGUGGCUAGCCAGUAGGUGUACAACAAGGAUAUUUUAACUGACGAUGGAGAAGAUGCAGCAUUUGAUGUUCUGUUAGGGAAGACAACAAUGCCCAUAUAUGAUAUGGAUAGGCAGCCUGAGGUGUCCUUAAGAAUGCAUAUGAGUAAGUCACCCUUUUAAAUUUGUAUAUUCGAGAAGACAAUUCUAUCUGCAGAAUCAUGGAAAAACUGCCAUGAACUGCAUCAUUUGAUUGCAGAAAUAGAUUGAAGCUUGCUAAAGAGAAUGGCAUCCAGUACAUUUGGUUCCCUGCUCUUGUGGUAUUUUUUUGGUAUGUACUAAGUGCCUAUUUUCAUUCAUGCAUGUGCUUUUUGUGCAGAUUAUUCUUGGCCCUAUCUAAUCUGUAAAGUUUAACAUGUUUUUUUCAUGCAGCCACCCCUCUGAAGGAAGCAUCGAACAGAGCUAUUUCAACUGCUCAUCAUUUUUUCAGGGGAUAUUGAAGGGGUGAUGUCGUGUUCAUAGUGAUUCAUAUGUGGACGACAAAGAAAUGUAGGUCUAGCUUUCAACCGAUUUGGGGACGAAACCAUUGUGAAGAACCACGGUGUAUUCAGAAACUGGAACGCUAUUUCAUCUGAAUAUUUUGAUACUAUAAUGCCAUCCCACUACUAUAUUUGUAACCAAAUGACAUUUACACAUGUUAAAUGAAUGAUAUAUGCAGGUGAUGUCCUGUUCAGCAUAGCAUUGCACAGACUGCUUUCGUGUGGGUUAGUAUUCACAAUUGCAUGUAUUUAGAUGUCCCGUUGACUGAACAUUGCAGAAGUCUAUAACUCACUAGCUAGACAGUUAAUGUUAUUUAGAGAACCAAUUUUCCAUGUGGCUACUGGCUAGAAUUACCCAUGUAUGGCCUUAUGAAGGCAUAAGUAUGAUGUCUGCUACUAUAUGUAGACCUGUAGUGAUGCCUACAGCAAAGAGGAAGAUUGCGAUAUACUAAUACUCAAGCCAGUUUUCAAAUUUAGGUGGUGGAGGCAAGUCAAGAUUUUAGACAUGUUGUGUUAGUGGCAGUCACAACUGAUGACCUAAAAUUCUAGACGCCAAUCCUUAUGAGUGAAGUUGUUCCUGUGCAGAAAAACAUUUUUUUUUCUGGCAAGCAAGAGAAUGUCAAGAUAUUUUGAGUUAUUUCUGAUACUUGCUUGAUGGAACAAACAUAAAUGUUGGGUAGAUAGCAAUUGCCUUUUUUGGUCCAUUGAUUUGGGCUACACGGGAUAAAAAAGUUGUUCUAUUUGUUCCUUUACAAAUUUAAGGUGAGAUCUCUUCCUAGGAUCUGCUCAUUAGGCUUGAUUUCCUGAUAGGUGUUCAGUUUAUUUCUCAUGACCUUGACUUAAAUAAUUGCAUUUUAGGUGUCAUCGUUUGGUCACAUGUAUCGUCGUUCUUACCAGGUUGUCUUUCCAGGCUUUAGAAGAACCAUAGUUUGGAGGUUUCAUUGUGUACCAUGACCUGUGAUAUCUACCAUAUCACCAAUCAAAAUCAGAUUUCCCUCCACCUCACUUCUUAGGCAUGUUUAGCUUAUUAUUAUUUCUUACAGAAACACACUUACUUUCUCUCGUGAAUCUAUUCGUUUGCAUCUCUUGGACUGCUCACCAUGUUAAAUUCUGGUGGCACCCUUGACAGUAUUGAGCCACCGCGAUUCAGAUCAAAUUCCGAGGACCGGGGCAGUUUGGUUGUAUUUGCUGGGCAGGUUGGCACAUGUAGAGUUGAUGCACAUGAAGUUAAGUUCAGCUAUUCUGACGAUGGCCUUUCUAGCCUUGAUCUCCCCACACUGGCCUUAAGCAUUAAGAUUUUGUACAAUCCUUCUCUUGCCAUCUGUGAUGUAGCUGCAGUACUGUUCAGUAACCAUUACAUGUGCUGCUAUGCGCAUGGACACCAUUUAUUUUAGAGAUUGUUAGACGCAAGUCAAUUGCUGCAUGUUAUGUUCUUUGUAGCUACAGCUGAUUGUAUUGACGUGAUUUGUUGAUAAUUGAUGUCGGUUUCGUUCUUACCAUUGUGUCUUGUUUGUGAGUA
Molecule: long non-coding RNA, 3276 nt
Organism: Lolium rigidum
Lineage: Eukaryota; Viridiplantae; Streptophyta; Magnoliopsida; Poales; Poaceae
Exons: 5
Source: RefSeq, a predicted model, not a curated record